GAUGAACGCUGGCGGCGUGCUUAACACAUGCAAGUCGAACGGAAAGGCUCCUGCCUGCAGGGGUACUCGAGUGGCGAACGGGUGAGUAACACGUGGGUGAUCUGCCCUGUACUUCGGGAUAAGCUUGGGAAACUGGGUCUAAUACCGGAUAUGACAAUCUCUUGGAUGGGGUUGUGGAAAGCUUUUGCGGUAUGGGAUGAGCUCGCGGCCUAUCAGCUUGUUGGUGGGGUAAUGGCCUACCAAGGCGUCGACGGGUAGCCGGCCUGAGAGGGUGUACGGCCACAUUGGGACUGAGAUACGGCCCUGACUCCUACGGGAGGCAGCAGUGGGGAAUAUUGCACAAUGGGCGCAAGCCUGAUGCAGCGACGCCGCGUGGGGGAUGACGGCCUUCGGGUUGUAAACUCCUUUCGCAACCGACGAAGCUUUUGUGACGGUAGGUUGAGAAGAAGCACCGGCUAACUACGUG
This 466-nucleotide ribosomal RNA is filed under the name uncultured bacterium. RNAcentral's name for it is "partial 16S ribosomal RNA". It matches the Rfam family "Bacterial small subunit ribosomal RNA", at positions 28 to 507 of the family's 1533-position model. The record is from RNAcentral.